Molecule: ribosomal RNA, 2633 nt
Filed under: Beauveria malawiensis
Lineage: Eukaryota; Fungi; Ascomycota; Sordariomycetes; Hypocreales; Cordycipitaceae
Description: bacterial LSU rRNA
Rfam family: Bacterial large subunit ribosomal RNA
Source: RNAcentral
ACUUAUUAGCUUGUUUAACAAGUAAUGUAAGUAUGUAAAGAAAUUAUUAUGCAAUUCUAGCUAUGUAUUAAGGAGAGCAAUUUUUAUAUAAAAAAGAAUAUUAUAUAUUCCUAGUUAUAUAAGCUCUAGAAUAAAUUUAAUAAUAAACGAAGUGAAGUGAAAUAUCUCAGUAACUUCAGGAAAAGAAAUCAAAAGAGAUUCUAUGAAUAGCGUGAGCGAAAGUAGAUAAGUCUAUUAAGUAAAAUGGUUUAUAAACUGUUUGAACGGGGAACCUUCCUCAAAGACUAAAUAUGAUACAUAAGCGAUAGAUAAUGGGCCGUGAGGUAAUUAGAAGUUAGUAGUAAUUUUAUAAGCAGUUCUAAUAUAUUUAGUUUAAAGAACGUACCUUUUGCAUAAUGGGUCACCAAGUUAACAUUAGAUGCGAGAAAAUUUCGUAGUUAAACCAAACAUUAAAAUAACGAUUAGUGUCUAAAGUUAGACCCGAAGCCUAGUGAUUUUACUAUGAUCAGGAUUAUAAAAGUCCGAACGGGUGAUUGUGGCAAAAAUCUCCGAAGAAUCGUGGUAGGUAUAGUGAAAGACAAUACUGACUAGGAUAGCUGGUUUUCUGCGAAACCUAUAACAGUAGGCAAUUUAAGUAAAUAUCUUAGCAGGUACAGAAUUUAAUCUCAGGCAGUGUUAUAUUGCGCAAAUUGGGGAAUCGUGAAGAUUUUACCAGUGAGUAUGUAGACUCGGAAUGGCAAAGAUAUAUCUUGAAUGAUCAGACAUAGAGUGAUAAGGUUGUAUGUCAAAAGGGAAACAGCCCAGAACAAGAGUUAAGGUUCCUAAAUUAUUUGUUAAGUGAAAGUAAGAAAGUUUUUAUUAAAGUCGACAAGGAGAUAGGCUUAGAAGCAGCCAUAAUUUUAUGACCUCGUAACAGAGCGCUUGUUAAGUUAUAAAAGCAUCGAAAAUAUAACGGAUCUAAACAAUAUACCGAAACCUUGUCCAUAAAUUAAUGCAGGGAUUCUUGCAUAUUUAUGGGGUAGCAGAACGUUGAAUUAGGCUAAAUAGCAAGUUUAUAAAUUUGUUAUGUUAAUUCAAGUGAGAAUGGUGACAUGAGUAACGAAAAGAAUAGUAGAUUUUGGCAAUUUUUUCUUAGGUGUAGCCUAGUAAGCUAUCAAAAUACAAAAGAAGAAUUAUCUAAAUACAUUAAAUAAUAGAUCUUAUUUAGUGCUUACAAGAUCUACUAUCCGCCUAAAGCUUAUGGUUAGAAUUAAGUAACGGCCUCUAAGCUUUUUAUCUAAAGAUGGAAGCGAUGAGAAAAUCUUUUAUUAUGAGACGACAUUUAUCUAGUGAAAAAUGUACAGGAAAUAUCAUGAUAUAGUAACCGUACCUAGAAACCGACUACGGUAAGCUAGUAGAGUAUACGAAGGCGUAAUUGAGAUAACAAUCAUAAAGGAACUCGGCAAAUUGACUAUCGUAACUUCGGGAUAAGUAGGGCUCAUUAUUCUUGAUUAAUAUCAGGUAAAGAGGAAGAAACAUAAAAUAAUGUUGUACGACUGUUUAAUUAAAACACAGCACUUUGCUUAAAGAUUAAAAAUCUAUGUAUAAAGUGUGAUAUCUGCCCGGUGCCGGCAGGCUAACAGAGAUGAUUGAAUAUAUUACUGUUUGAUAUUGACGGAAGCCCCGGUUAAAGGCGGCCUUAACGUGAGGGUCCUAAGGUAGCGAAAUGCCUUGGCCGUUAAAUGCGGUCUUGCAUGAAUGGUGUAACGAUACAACAGCUGUCUCUAUGAUUGACUCAGUGAAAUUGGAAUAGCUGUGCAGAUACAGCUUACCACUAGUUAGACGAGAAGACCCUUUGCAGCUUUACUGUUACUAAUGAUAGAUUUUGAUGAAAAAUUUUCAGACUAGAAGGGAAUUGAUUAAAUAUCUAUGAGAAACCUUUAUUUUGAUUCUUCAUUUGAAUGAAUUGAUAUACCUACAAGCGUUAGUAUAUCAUCCUAGUUCAGCCUAUAUUCUUAGUUUACUAAGAAAUAGGUAACCUUGGGAAGGAACUAUUACUAGGAGACAGUUUAUGUGGGGCACAGACCCUGUAAAGAGUAAACAGGUGUGUCUAAUAAUUAUUUUUAUUUUGUUUGCUAUUUUUAUAUAAAUCAUAUUCACUUUGAUAUAAUUCUAGUGUAGUACUUGGUGGGCUCUUUUUUUUUUGAAAAAAAAUACUACAAGUUAUACUAUUAUAUUUAUAUCGAAAAUUUAGGUAAGAUUUUGACUAUACUGAAAUUAGAGAUAAUUUAAAAUUUUAUGUAAUACUUGGUGGGCUCCGCCCUAAAGUUUAACACUAAAGUUUUAUAGUUAUUCGUAUUUAUAUACGAACUAAUUAUGUUUUGAAGAUCUAAAAAGCUCAACGGCUUAAUCUUGCCUUACUGUUUGAUUAUCGACAAAUCUUACAGUUGCGUAAGCAGAGCAUAGGAUCACAAGAUGCAAUAAGGAAAGAUCUUGGAUUAUUGGAAAAGCUACGCUAGGGAUGUUUGUCCUUUAAUCUUUAUUAAAAGAAUUAUUAUAAAUUGGGUAAAUUUCAAGAAUUACUAGCUUUCGCAUUAAUUGUAAACUUGAAGCGAAAUUUAUCUUAGCAUAAUAUAAGAUAAAAACGUUCAACG